RNAcentral lists this transfer RNA (73 nucleotides) under Candidatus Woesearchaeota archaeon. Its description in RNAcentral is "tRNA-His". It matches the Rfam family "tRNA". Rfam says of the family: Transfer RNA (tRNA) molecules are approximately 80 nucleotides in length. Their secondary structure includes four short double-helical elements and three loops (D, anti-codon, and T loops). The record is from RNAcentral. Lineage: Archaea; Nanobdellati; Candidatus Woesearchaeota.
GCGGUAGUGGUGUAACCUGGCAGCACAGAGGACUGUGGAUCCUCUAGACCGGAUUCAAAUUCCGGCUACCGCC